UACAGAGGGUGCGAGCGUUGUCCGGAAUCACUGGGCUUAAAGGGCGCGUAGGCGGGCCAUCAAGUCAGAGGUGAAAGCCCCGGCUCAACCGGGGAAGUGCCUUUGAUACUGACGGGCCUCGAGGGGGUAGGGGCGUGGCGGAACUUCCGGUGGAGCGGUGAAAUGCGUGAGAUAUCGGAAGGAACACCGGUGGCGAAAGCGGCGCGCUGGACCUCUUCUGACGCUGAGGCGCGAAA
This 236-nucleotide ribosomal RNA is filed under the name uncultured bacterium. Its description in RNAcentral is "partial 16S ribosomal RNA". It matches the Rfam family "Bacterial small subunit ribosomal RNA", at positions 524 to 758 of the family's 1533-position model. The record is from RNAcentral.